This 1019-nucleotide ribosomal RNA is filed under the name uncultured bacterium. RNAcentral describes it as "bacterial SSU rRNA". It matches the Rfam family "Bacterial small subunit ribosomal RNA", at positions 357 to 1376 of the family's 1533-position model. The record is from RNAcentral.
AGGAAUAUUGGUCAAUGGGCGCAAGCCUGAACCAGCCAAGUAGCGUGAGGGAAGACUGCCCUAUGGGUUGUAAACCUCUUUUGUGCGGGGAUAAAGUGUGGGACGUGUCCCAUAUUGCAGGUACCGCACGAAUAAGGACCGGCUAAUUCCGUGCCAGCAGCCGCGGUAAUACGGAAGGUCCGGGCGUUAUCCGGAUUUAUUGGGUUUAAAGGGAGCGCAGGCCGUCCUUUAAGCGUGCUGUGAAAUGCCGCGGCUCAACCGUGGCACUGCAGCGCGAACUGGAGGACUUGAGUACGCACGAGGUAGGCGGAAUUCGUGGUGUAGCGGUGAAAUGCUUAGAUAUCACGAAGAACUCCGAUUGCGAAGGCAGCUUACCGGAGCGCAACUGACGCUGAGGCUCGAAAGCGCGUGCUAUCGAACAGGAUUAGAUACCCUGGUAGUCCGCGCGGUAAACGAUGGAUGCCCGCCGUUGGGUUUUAGAAUUCAGCGGCCAAGCGAAAGCGUUAAGCAUCCCACCUGGGGAGUACGCCGGCAACGGUGAAACUCAAAGGAAUUGACGGGGGCCCGCACAAGCGGAGGAACAUGUGGUUUAAUUCGAUGAUACGCGAGGAACCUUACCCGGGCUUGAAUUGCAGGAGAACGAUCCAGAGAUGGUGAGGCCCUUCGGGGCUCCUGUGAAGGUGCUGCAUGGUUGUCGUCAGCUCGUGCCGUGAGGUGUCGGCUCAAGUGCCAUAACGAGCGCAACCCCUGUCCAUAGUUGCCAUCAGGUCGUGCUGGGCACUCUGUGGAGACUGCCGCCGUAAGGUGUGAGGAAGGUGGGGAUGACGUCAAAUCAGCACGGCCCUUACGUCCGGGGCUACACACGUGUUACAAUGGGGCAUACAGCGAGUUGGAUGUGCGCAAGUACGUCCGGAUCAAUAAAGUGCCUCUCAGUUCGGACUGGGGUCUGCAACCCGACCCCACGAAGCUGGAUUCGCUAGUAAUCGCGCAUCAGCCAUGGCGCGGUGAAUACGUUCCCG